This 386-nucleotide unclassified non-coding RNA is filed under the name uncultured Phycisphaeraceae bacterium. RNAcentral's name for it is "contains 16S-23S intergenic spacer region". The record is from RNAcentral. Lineage: Bacteria; Pseudomonadati; Planctomycetota; Phycisphaerae; Phycisphaerales; Phycisphaeraceae.
UCCGGUUUGACACCGGCAGUCUCGUUAGAGUCCCCGCCAUUACGCGCUGGCAACUAACGAUAGGGGUUUCGCUCGUUAAGGGACUUAACCCAACACUUCACAGCACGAGCUGACGACAGCCAUGCAUCACCUGUGCACGUUCCACCCCGAAGGGCGUGGCCCCGGUUUCCCGGGGUUAAUCCGUGCAUGUCAAACCCUGGAUAAGGUUCUUCGCGUUGCUUCGAAUUAAGCCACAUGCUCCACCGCUUGUGUGAGCCCCCGUCAAUUCCUUUGAGUUUUAGCCUUGCGACCGUACUCCCCAGGCGGUGCACUUAUCGUUUUAACUUCGGCCCCGAGGGCGUCAGAGCCUCCGGGACCUAGUGCACAACGUUUACGGCGUGGACUAC